RNAcentral lists this ribosomal RNA (497 nucleotides) under uncultured bacterium. Its description in RNAcentral is "partial 16S ribosomal RNA". It matches the Rfam family "Bacterial small subunit ribosomal RNA", at positions 28 to 507 of the family's 1533-position model. The record is from RNAcentral.
GAUGAACGCUGGCGGCGUGCCUAAUACAUGCAAGUCGAGCGAACGGACGAGAAGCUUGCUUCUCUGAUGUUAGCGGCGGACGGGUGAGUAACACGUGGAUAACCUACCUAUAAGACUGGGAUAACUUCGGGAAACCGGAGCUAAUACCGGAUAAUAUUUUGAACCGCAUGGUUCAAAAGUGAAAGACGGUCUUGCUGUCACUUAUAGAUGGAUCCGCGCUGCAUUAGCUAGUUGGUAAGGUAACGGCUUACCAAGGCAACGAUGCAUAGCCGACCUGAGAGGGUGAACGGCCACACUGGAACUGAGAACCGGGCCAGACUCCUAAGGGAGGCAGCAGUAGGGAAUCUUCCGCAAUGGGCGAAAGCCUGAAGGAGCAACGCCGCGUGAGUGAUAGAGGUCUUCGGAUCGUAAAACUCUGUUAUUAGGGAAGAACAUAUGUGUAAGUAACUGUGCACAUCUUGACGGUACCUAAACAGAAAGCCACGGCUAACUACGUG